Long non-coding RNA from Enhydra lutris kenyoni (northern sea otter), 2246 nucleotides. RefSeq lists it as uncharacterized. The transcript is spliced from 4 exons. The record is from RefSeq and is a predicted model, not a curated record. NCBI's taxonomy places the organism in Eukaryota, Metazoa, Chordata, Mammalia, Carnivora, Mustelidae.
GGCUAAGAACCGGCUGCCGAGCCUCUGGGGGCGGAGGAGAAGCGGCGCAUCCGCAGGUGAGAGCCGCGCGGGGUCCGGUCCAGGUCGGCACCCCCUCCCGGUCUCCCCGCCGCCUCUCGGCCAGGACGCCGCGCACCCACCGGGCAGCACCCCCUAACCCGGGGCCCGCCGGUCUCCACGGGACUGCGCGACGCUGUGGAACAUUUUGGAACCGGGCAGCGGUCCUUCUGCCUGUCCUGUCGCUGCCUGGCAGUUACAGUCUUUCCCAGCAGAGAACACUGCGUGGGGGACCGUCGUCCUCUUGCAGCUCUGGCCCGGGAGUCCCGGUCCGGCACCUGGACGACCCUGCGUCCACACCUGGACGGUGCAUAGAAGCUUGCACCUGAGCGUCGGAUGCAAAUUCCAGCCUCGGUUUCGCUAACUGUGGCCUGGGGUCUGUCUCCCCACCCCCACCCCGUGGGCUUGACGUGCGCAGUAACGGAGACCCGGGGCACGUGGUGCUCGGCCGUGCCCGUCCUGCCUCUGCACCCUUUGGGACCAUCCCAGCGGCCGCUGUGCACAAAAAGUGGGGCCGGGGAGCAGGACUUUGUCUCCUAGGCGGUUACUGACUUGCUGGCACCCCACAAGCCUAAGCAGCUCAGUUAGCCAGCUACUGUCAUUUCCUCCACCGGGAUCCGGCUUCUUAAGAAGCCAGUAAGAGCUGAUGGGGACUGUUACGAAACAUACCAGCAGGACCUGCUUCUUAGGGGAAAUGCUCGAUUUUGGACGGGACCGAAGGCUUGCCUGGUCACUGGCGCCAUCUACUGGUUACACUGACUUACUGCUCCGACGAGGGACCAUGGCCGGCGCAGGGUCCCCCGACCUGCCUGAAGAUCAGUGGCAGGUCGACCACUCAUUCAGUGAGUGCCUGCUACCUUCGUCCGCUGACACACAGACCCUUCCUCUCUUGGAGGACUGGAUCAUCGUUCGUCUUCCGUCUACUUCUCUCCCAGAAUAUAAUUUUAAGCACUAGCAGUUGUCAGUGUCUCAGGCUUACCAAGCACUCUAGCUUGUCUGAGCCUCAUACCCACAUCCUGGAGCGAGUGAGCGACAGGGCAUCUCAGGAAGGCCUCGCGAAUGGCACACACAGCAGACCAGCAAGAGGUCCUCAGGCUUGGAAACUGCUGAGAUGACCCGCACUGUGCAGUGAAAACUGAUUAUUGAGUCAGAAGAUGUUUUUGUUGCGUGGUCUCUCACGACGCUUCCGACCAGGUGGCAGGCGCUGUGCCGUGGCUGUGGGGAGGACACGAGAACCCUGCUCAGGGUCCCUGCUCCCACGGAGCUUAAGGCCCGGUCAGGAGGCAGGUAUUACAUACAUGGUUCUAGAAUUGAAAAGCAAUGACCGCUGAGGUGAGUGCUUUGGAUGGUGAAGGCUGUGCUGGGAGAGACCCUGGCUGGGUGGGGUGGGGUCUGUCGGGAGGGGAGAAGACGGCAGGGGUGGUCCGGGCUGCCUGCUCCCACAGUGUGUGGGCAAGGUGUGGGCAAGGCGCAAGGACGCAGUCGGCCGGGAUGGCUAGAGCACCAGGAGCAGGAGGGAGGAGCAGAGGUCUAGGCUGCAGCCCCAGGCUGUAGGCACGGAUGGUGUGACCUUGGGGGUGUCCUUCCACCUUUCUGAGCUGCAGCUUCCUCUUCCGAAAACACAUCAUAGUCAUAGCAGAGCGCCCCGGAGAGGCCGGGAGGGUUAAGACGGAUGAUGUGAGUGGCUCGUAAGUCACGCACUGGGAAGGUGUCUUGGGGCCGACGGAGGGGUCACAGAUGCCGAAAGCAUCCGGAGGUGUGUAUGAGUCAUGCUGACUUUCCGAGUUUCAGAGGGACAGGGAAGGAGGAGUUAAAACCUGCAGGUGUUGGUUUGCUCUAGAUCGCUAGACCUAGACCUGCUCGCGCCUAUCCCAGGCUUUCCUCUCUGCUCAGAUUAGGAUUGUCCAUUUGGGUCCCUGGACAGGGCAGGACCCACCCCACACGCGGCAGUAGGGUCACAGUUUUCCAUACAGGGCCAUCGUGAGGGAUCCGGGCUGGUGUUUUUAUGGCUUUUCCAUGAGUAGAAUCUCUAGUCUGUUGCCUCAGAUUUGUUCACUUGACUCCUAAAACCUCCUUUGUAAAUCUUUGCUUGUGUUUGUACACUCAGUUCCACACACCCUAUUCUGUAAUUCCAAAACCCACAGUGCUCUGAAAAUAAAAAAUGUCGUUUCUGACUCAUUUGGUGGCAA